This 90-nucleotide ribosomal RNA is filed under the name Escherichia coli DEC15E. Lineage: Bacteria; Pseudomonadati; Pseudomonadota; Gammaproteobacteria; Enterobacterales; Enterobacteriaceae. The record is from RNAcentral.
GGCGGCCUUAGCGCGGUGGUCCCACCUGACCCCAUGCCGAACUCAGAAGUGAAACGCCGUAGCGCCGAUGGUAGUGUGGGGUCUCCCCAU